GCCAUGCCCGGUCAUUUCUUGAAUACCUCCAGUGAUGGUCAGUCCACCAUCUCUCUGGGGAGCCUGUUCCAAUGUUUAACCCUUGUUCCUGUGGAGGAAUUUCUCAUGAUGUCCAACCUGAACCUCCCCUCCCUUGAGGCUGCUUCCUCUUGUGCUGUUGUCCACAAAAACCCUGAUUCAUUACCUGGUGUGCAACAAGCCAAUAAUUAGCCACUGUGGACAACACUGUCAUAGGUUGUCCAACCCCCGCCUCAUUACAACCACUUUUCAGGAAGAUGGAACACAUCCAUUUUGGGGUUCCCUGCAAUAUUAGAUUCAUUGCACCAUAGAAAAAGGGGACAGAGAUGGGCCAAAAUGUUUUACAUACUACUUAGAUGCAACCAAGGUGAGAAAUCAUAGCUUCACUACAAAGCUCCUCCAGAUUGGUGGAGAUAAACUCACUUUUUCAUUCCAGCAAGUUUCUGUGUUCAGAUACAGAGGCAUUGGAUCUGAGUUCAUGCACCAAACAGAAGCAAUACAGUUCUGUGUAUUUUCUGCUGUGUACCAGCUCGUGAUUCCCACAAGGAAAUCCUUGUACUAGGAUGAGGACAGCAUCCUAUCCAAUUCAAGCAAGACAGUGGUUCUACUGAUGGACAAAUAAAACACUUGGAGGAUUUUAAACCCAAGGACAGUGCUUAAAAAAUAAAAUGGUAAUAAACUGUCCAAAACAAGUGCACUCUGGAAAUUCAAAGAAAAGAAUGAAUCUUCAUUUAAAGACUGAGCUUCAGGAAUAUCUUGUCCAUAUGCAUAGUGGGGGUAAGCAGUUAUGUCAAAGUCUGUCUUGCCAGGAGGAGUUUGUGACAACGUGGGAACUGCUCAGGAUUCUUGACUUACUCCUGGUCAGCUGCAGUGUGACACACCUGUAUGUAAAUGCUAUGUGUGUUACUUGUGUGUGUGUGUGAACCUCUGACAAGCACAUUAGGCCUUGAUUUCCUUCCUAGGAAAUACUAAGUGAAAUUAAAUCUUCUCUGACUUUUCUAGAAGACGGUUAUGAAUUAAUUGUCAUAGCUUCUUUUAAAGAUUGCCUAAAGUCAGGGAUGAUGAUGAUGACUGUGGUUGACAACUCUGAUUCUUAGCUGCUUUCUCAAAAGGGUAUUGUUCACCCAUGCAGAAGACAAAAAUUCUUUGCUGUGCAGAGGAAAACUUGAAAUUAACUCCUUUCACAGCUGGAGACAACUAUAAAUUUCACCUAUUUCUUUCUUCAGUGUAAGAUACUUCUUUUUUCAUCUUCUUUAUAUGGACCUGCAACUGUUAAAAAAAAUUAAAAACCUCCCUAGUCCCUUAGAAAUUAUCACCCAAUUAAAAAAACACUAAACUUGAUAUGCUUGAGUAUAUUAGUCAUGAUUACAAUAUAAGACUUGUGUGAUGCUCCAACCUUACUGUUUCCUUUAAUAACUGUUUUGCUUUAAUAAAGACAAUUUUUUACUCUUCA
Long non-coding RNA from Cyanistes caeruleus (blue tit), 1471 nucleotides. RefSeq lists it as uncharacterized. The record is from RefSeq and is a predicted model, not a curated record. Lineage: Eukaryota; Metazoa; Chordata; Aves; Passeriformes; Paridae.